GGACUACCCGGGUUUCUAAUCCUGUUCGCUCCCCACGCUUUCGCGCCUCAGCGUCAGUAUCGGUCCAGAGAGCCGCCUUCGCCACCGGUGUUCUUCCCAAUAUCUACGAAUUUCACCUCUACACUGGGAAUUCCACUCUCCUCUCCCGAUCUCUAGCGUACCAGUCCCAAACGCAGUUCCCAGGUUAAGCCCGGGGCUUUCACGUCUGACUUGAUACGCCGCCUGCGCGCCCUUUACGCCCAGUAAAUCCGAACAACGUUCGCCCCCUUCGUAUUACCGCGGCUGCUGGCAC
Molecule: ribosomal RNA, 292 nt
Filed under: uncultured bacterium
Lineage: Bacteria
Description: partial 16S ribosomal RNA
Source: RNAcentral